Molecule: ribosomal RNA, 440 nt
Filed under: uncultured bacterium
Lineage: Bacteria
Description: partial 16S ribosomal RNA
Rfam family: Bacterial small subunit ribosomal RNA
Source: RNAcentral
CCUACGGGAGGCAGCAGUAGGGAAUCUUCCACAAUGGGGGCAACCCUGAUGGAGCAAUGCCGCGUGCAGGAAGAAGCUUUUCGGAGUGUAAACUGCUUUUCUGAAGGAAGAUUAUGACGGUACUUCAGGAAUAAGGACCGGCUAACUACGUGCCAGCAGCCGCGGUAAUACGUAGGGUCCAAGCGUUAUCCGGAUUUACUGGGCGUAAAGCGUCUGUAGGCGGUCAGUUAAGUUAGAUAUGAAAUCUAACAGCUUAACUGUUUAGACUGUAUCUAAAACUAACGGACUAGAGAAUAGUAGAGGCAAGUGGAAUUUCCGGUGUAGCAGUGAAAUGCGUAGAGAUCGGGAGGACCACCAGUGGCGAGGGCGGCGUCCGGGCCGACACCUGACGCUGAAGCGCGAAAGCGUGGGGAGCGAACGGGAUUAGAUACCCCUGUAGU